UGCGUAGGCGGUCCCGCAAGUCCGCUGUGAAAGCCCCGGGCUUAACCUGGGAAUGGCAGUGGAAACUAUGGGACUUGAAUCUGGCAGAGGGGGGUGGAAUGCCACGUGUAGCAGUGAAAUGCGUAGAUAUGUGGCGGAACACCGAUGGCGAAGGCAGCCCCCUGGGCUGAGAUUGACGCUCAGGCACGAAAGCGUGGGGAGCAAACAGGAUUAGAUACCCUGGUAGUCCACGCCCUAAACGAUGAUCACUAGGUGUUGGGGAAGCGAUUUCUCAGUACCGCAGCUAACGCGUGAAGUGAUCCGCCUGGGGAGUACGGUCGCAAGAUUAAA
Molecule: ribosomal RNA, 330 nt
Filed under: uncultured bacterium
Lineage: Bacteria
Description: bacterial SSU rRNA
Rfam family: Bacterial small subunit ribosomal RNA
Source: RNAcentral